This is a small nuclear RNA of Phodopus roborovskii (desert hamster), 103 nucleotides long. The record is from RefSeq and is a predicted model, not a curated record. Lineage: Eukaryota; Metazoa; Chordata; Mammalia; Rodentia; Cricetidae.
AUGCUUUGACAACACAUAUACCAAAAAUUGAAUGAUAUAGACAAGAUUAGCAUGGCCCAUGUACAAGGAUGGCAUGCAGAUUUGUGAAGGGUUUCUUUUUUUU